This 493-nucleotide ribosomal RNA is filed under the name uncultured bacterium. Its description in RNAcentral is "bacterial SSU rRNA". It matches the Rfam family "Bacterial small subunit ribosomal RNA", at positions 104 to 573 of the family's 1533-position model. The record is from RNAcentral.
GGGUGAGUAACACGUAAACAACCUGCCUUCAGGAUGGGGACAACAGACGGAAACGACUGCUAAUACCGAAUACGCUUGGGAGACCGCAUGAUCUUCCAAGGAAAGGGUGGCCUCUACCUGUAAGCUAUCGCCUGAAGAGGGGUUUGCGUCUGAUUAGGCAGUUGGCGAGGUAACGGCCCACCAAACCUACGAUCAGUAGCCGGUCUGAAAGGAUGAACGGCCACACUGGAACUGAGACACGGUCCAGACUCCUACGGGAGGCAGCAGUGGGGAAUCUUCCGCAAUGGGCGAAAGCCUGACGGAGCAACGCCGCGUGAGUGAUGACGGCCUUCGGGUUGUAAAGCUCUGUGAUCGGGGACGAACGGUCCGUAAGUCAAUACCUUAUGGAAGUGACGGUACCCGAAUAGCAAGCCACGGCUAACUACGUGCCAGCAGCCGCGGUAAUACGUAGGUGGCAAGCGUUGUCCGGAUUAUUGGGCGUAAAGCGCGCGCA